Molecule: transfer RNA, 27 nt
Filed under: Zosterops japonicus (Japanese white-eye)
Lineage: Eukaryota; Metazoa; Chordata; Aves; Passeriformes; Zosteropidae
Also listed under: 4 other names
Description: partial tRNA-Trp
Source: RNAcentral
AGAAACUUAGGAUCACUUAAACCGAAG